CUCUAUUAGUCAUUAUUAAUAGUAUAAUCUGCUCAAUGAUAUUUAAAUAGCCGCAAUUAUUUGUGCUAAGGUAGCAUAAUCAUUCGUUUUUUAAUUGAAAACUAGAACAAAAGAUUAAACAUCUUAAUAAAUAUCUUAAAAUCAAAUCCAUAAAUUAUCUUAAGUGUAAAAAGACACUUAUUUAAAAGGUAGACGAUAAGACCCUAUUGAACUUUACUAAAGUUAAACUGGGGUAGUUAAUUAAUUAUAACUUUAAUUAUUAAUAUUAUAUAAUAGACCUAAUACUAUUAAAUAUGUAAUCAAGUUACCAUAGGGAUAACAGCGUAAUAUAUAUUAUAAGCCCUUAUUUAAAUAAUAGAUUACGACCUCGAUGUUGAAUAAUUAUUCUACAUUUACGCAAAAGUAAUAAAAGAAAGUCUGUUCGACUAUUAAAUAAUUACA
Molecule: ribosomal RNA, 441 nt
Filed under: Zelanda sp. CG213
Lineage: Eukaryota; Metazoa; Arthropoda; Arachnida; Araneae; Gnaphosidae
Description: partial 16S ribosomal RNA
Source: RNAcentral